UUUACUUUUUCCACAGCGAAGAUUUACAGUUGAGUGAUACAUUUAACUUGUGAAAGGAAGCAAGAUGGGAUUUUUUUAAGAUAACACGUACUACAUAUGCAUAAGACAAGAUCAGCAGAGUGCAAAGCGUAAUCGCUUUGUCCACAGGGGGCGCCAAAAACAUUGCAAACCCUGAGACCUCACAGGAGCUUUAACACAAGCAGUGUUUUUAUUUUAUUUUUUUUAAUCAAAAACAAGAAACACAAUCUUUCACCUUACCUUUACAGUAAUUUUUGUAAAUCUACAUUUGCAGUUUGGCUGUAUGUGUUGUUCUACCUUCUACCAGUAGGGGCGCUAAAUUUGAUGGGUUUUAUUAGAAGGUUGGAUGAAUUGCUGAGUUGACAGUGUAUGCUUCCCCUCUUAAAAAAACCCGACAAUAACUAAAAAAACUGGGUUACAAAAAUUCAAAUUUCGAUUAAAAUGUUUUCUUAAUGUUUCUCAUCCACACUUUAGAAGUAAUUGAUGGUAGGUCAGCUUUUUUCUUAUGAUUGGGUUGCAGUUAAUUGAUUAAAGCCGUUUGAGAUCAACACUCCUCGUCAGACGUGACAUUUUUCAGAGACAGGGAGUCUGUAAAGGACAUCUUUGACGUGACCAACUAAUGAGACGCUGUGAUGUCUGCGACAGACUCAGUGGAUAAAUGUCAUUUUAUUUCAUGUUGACCAUCAGCUUCUAUAUUUAGCCUGAUGUGUCGUCAUAUUUCCAGAUACCUCACUUGUUCACAGCUCCAGUUUUGUACUCAACCAACGAGGCCUGAAGCUACAAAACUGGUGCUGAGUGUUGUCGACAAUUGCCUGUUGUCUUACUGAACAAAAAACGACUGAGAAGAACCAAAGGAAGGUUUUCACACCAGGCUUAAUCCUGGGAUAAGACCCACACAGGUCAUUCACACUUACAGUUCCUGAGAAGUUCAUAAAGUACAAGUGGUACAGAUACAAGUAUUUCAUGUUUUUUAAGCUCAGACUUGAGUUUUAGUAUUUUGGUACCACAGUGUAAAGCACUUGGAACAGUUGCAAUAAUCAUGUAUAUUGAAAUACCUGCAUGCACACUGACUUUUGACUGUUGACACAAUGAGUGCAGCAGAAGACAGUAACCUUUUGUUGCGUUUUGGCUGUUGGUCGACACGGGUUCCCGAGUGCAAACUUUUGAAAACAGCACCGUCUCUGUAGUCGAGUAACCUGGCAGUAUGCAGGUCCUCUGAAAAGGGAAAGUUUUCAUACAAAGCACAUCUAGGUUCGGGGUCAAAAGCCAUGUGCGAGUUUAGGCGGACAACAACAACAAUGGCAGACUCCAGAGAUCUCUUUUAACAAGGCUUCUCCAGCAAAGUUUAUAUUUAGUGCACCUUCACUUUGAUCAGCGGAGACUUGCUUACAAAUAGUGAACCCACCUCUACGUCGGCCAAGGGAAGCCAAACGGGUGAUUAGCCAUCAGCCAUUUUUGUAUGUUUACACCUCACGGCUGUGUAGAAGGGAGAGUAUGAGUGCAUGCCGAGUUGUUUUAUUACAAAGUCACACCACCAACUACUGGCUUAGCAUGUAUAAUACAGUGUUUUUAGUCGUUUCUGUAGAUCUGUGGGCAUGGCCGUUGAUAUGAAAAUGUUGUACUUACUGCGCAAAGUUGGAACUUUUUGAGAACACAAAAAGAAAAACGAUUCCGCUUUCAGUGGAUCUGUAUCAUGUAAACGUGGAGUUAGAGCGGAUAUUUUGCCUGUGGAAUUAUCUUGGAGGUUACACAGUAGUGUGGGGCUUUCCAAACCCUUUCUUAAUCCCUGAUGUAUUGCAGAGUCAUCCUGCAAAAGUCUUAAGGCGUGUUCGGAUUAAAACAAAAGCUGCAUUCAGUUAAAGUUUAUGUAAAUGAGCGAUUGCAGAUCAAAUGUAGGGUGUAAAAACUGGGGUUAAAAAUGCCCUCAAUCAAACAAACAAAAAAUGGAUCCUGCAGCUGUAUGACACCACUACAUGGAGAAGAAGAAAACAAAACAAACUGAAAAAAAUGAGCAUACAGCUAGCGUUGCUCUUGACCUGCAAAGACAGGUGAACUUCUUGCACAUGCAUCAUUAGUAGCAGUAAUGUUGCUACAAGCUAACAGCAAAAGCUAGCCCCUGGUGAGUUUGUAAUUAGCAGUUUGUUUCCACCGACUGCACAACAAAGUGCUCGCUCUGAUUGCACCUUUAAAGCCUGUGGUGUGAAUCUGAGGUGGAGCCGGUCUGUUCCGAUCUCAGCUAGCUGUUAGCAGUUAGUGUAAUGAAGCACUUAAACCACAGGCUCUGGUUUUAAUUGUGCGGCCAUUUCACCUGAGCUUUGAUGGUUAAUACGUCUGAGUGGAUGCAUUCUGUGGGCCUGCAGGGUUUAGGGCAGCACGCCUGGAAAAAAAAAAGUGUGAACAGUCCUUUAAUGAGAUCUGACAUCCAUGAGCGGUAGAAUCCUGCAGACCGUGUGUGGUAGUCGUUGACCUGAAAUUGGUUUUUACUUUGAGUUUCAACUUUUUACUUUAACGAUGAAAUAUCUUUAAGAAUGAAUUUUAUUCCAGAGAGGAGAUGCAGCAGUAAGUUGCAUGAAGAACUUAAAACUUCAGAUGUCAGCUAUGAAAGGAGAAGAAUUAGACCAUUAUUUACGAGAAAACUUUUGUCAUAAUGUGACUCAUAAGAAAUUGGAGACUGGGUUUGCUCUCGAUAAAAACUGUGUUUGGAUUGUUCUACAUAAGCAGAAAAGUUUGUCAGAUACUUUAUGAGCGAGCAACUUUUUCCCUGCAUGUUGUCACCAAACUGGCAGUUUUUAAAGGGUACGGUGUGUUCACUAGAAGAUAAAAAAAGUAUGACUUUGUUUCACUUUCUGAAUGCAGCAUUUGUUGAUUCCCUGCAGAAACAUUCUGAUCCUGCAGGUUUUUCCAUAUUUAUAAUUCAGCGACUUUGGUGACAUUUUCAUGCGUUUUAUUCACAAAUAUAAAAAGUUGAAUGUUAAAAAGUCUAAAUUAUGACGGUUCUUUUAUCUUAUCAGUUAACAUUAAAGUUUUGAUGAUGAUUUUUGACCACUUGUGGCGCUGUAGAGCAACCCAAGAAGGACUCACAACACAAACAGUUCUUAAAACUUUUGCUAGAUCUGAAACCGAAGUAUCAGAGGUGAUAAUUGCGCGCCUGCCUAUAAAUGUUUGGUUACUAAAGUAACUUUGGUUCUCUGAGAGCUGUGCGAGAUUUUGUAAGCAAGCUCUUCAGAAUGGGGCCGUUUGCCUGGCACGAUGUUUGGGUCGUUCUUUGCUAAUUAAAGUAUCUUAAAAGACUUGUGAUGCUUUUAAAGGCCAGAUGUGAGAAACUAUUUUUUUUGUUGUUGCAAAAUUGCAAUCGUUUUUUGCAGACAAGUGGAUCAAAUGUAGGAAUGCAGAAAUAAAAGUGAAGAGAACUGAAAGCUAAAUGAACAAUGACGUUUUUAAGUCCUCCAUGUUGAAAUAGUACAUGAAGUUUCCCUUUAACACACAAACAAACAUUUUGCCAGUUAGCUUCAAACACGACUGUAUUUGCUGUAUUUUUGAGCAUGAGAUGUUUAAGUUAGAGUUACCAGAUUUAAGUCAAGUGUUAACCUGGAGAGAACUGUGGAAGCUGCAGAGUAAAUGUUGAAAAACUUGAGAGAACUUUGACUUUCAGAGGUUUUAACUGAAGCUCAUGAAAACUCUUCUGCUCUCUUUAUAUUUGUGAAGUUUCUUCACCAAACAGUGCCAGUUAUCCUUGGCUUGUUUUUCUUUUUUUUUGUCUUUUUGUAGAAAUCAGAAUAAGCCUGAAAAUGUUUCACGGUUUAAAUGUAGUGGGGAUUUAGAUGAUAGUGUUGAGAUUUCAGCCCCGCCAACCAAUUCUUUCAUCUUUCAUCAGGGUCAUCAAGAAACACAUUGCAACCAUCCUUUAAAUAGGGUAGGCACGAAAUUGAAAGAAA
This is a long non-coding RNA of Labrus mixtus (cuckoo wrasse), 3953 nucleotides long. RefSeq lists it as uncharacterized. Lineage: Eukaryota; Metazoa; Chordata; Actinopteri; Labriformes; Labridae. The transcript is spliced from 2 exons. The record is from RefSeq and is a predicted model, not a curated record.